GGAGGAGUGGCAGAGUGGACGAAUGCGGCGGUCUCGAAAACCGUUGUCCGGCAUACGCCGGACCAGGGGUUCGAAUCCCCUCUCCUCCG
RNAcentral lists this transfer RNA (89 nucleotides) under Bacteroidales bacterium. RNAcentral's name for it is "tRNA-Ser". It matches the Rfam family "tRNA". Rfam says of the family: Transfer RNA (tRNA) molecules are approximately 80 nucleotides in length. Their secondary structure includes four short double-helical elements and three loops (D, anti-codon, and T loops). The record is from RNAcentral. Lineage: Bacteria; Pseudomonadati; Bacteroidota; Bacteroidia; Bacteroidales.